Molecule: transfer RNA, 74 nt
Filed under: Plocamium cartilagineum
Lineage: Eukaryota; Rhodophyta; Florideophyceae; Plocamiales; Plocamiaceae
Description: tRNA-His
Rfam family: tRNA
About the family: Transfer RNA (tRNA) molecules are approximately 80 nucleotides in length. Their secondary structure includes four short double-helical elements and three loops (D, anti-codon, and T loops). Further hydrogen bonds mediate the characteristic L-shaped molecular structure. tRNAs have two regions of fundamental functional importance: the anti-codon, which is responsible for specific mRNA codon recognition, and the 3' end, to which the tRNAs corresponding amino acid is attached (by aminoacyl-tRNA synthetases). tRNAs cope with the degeneracy of the genetic code in two manners: having more than one tRNA (with a specific anti-codon) for a particular amino acid; and 'wobble' base-pairing, i.e. permitting non-standard base-pairing at the 3rd anti-codon position.
Source: RNAcentral
GUGGAGAAAGUUCAAUUGGAUUGAGCAAUAGAUUGUGAAUCUAAAGGUUAAGGGUUCGAAUCCCUUUCUCCACC